CUUAUACUCAUCAUCAAUCUCUGUCUAUUCAUCAUCCUACCAGAAAAAAACAAUGAAUCAUUGUCACAAGUCACAACUAUACUCUGGAGAACAAUGAUCAAAGCUCACACAGUACUAUAGUAGCAUAGCAUUUAGCUAAAUAGAACUCAUUGAUUCAUCUGCAGCCUGCAGGAGAGCUAGUAGGCGCUGCAGCAGGCCAGCCCGUGAUUCAC
Molecule: long non-coding RNA, 212 nt
Filed under: Brachypodium distachyon (stiff brome)
Lineage: Eukaryota; Viridiplantae; Streptophyta; Magnoliopsida; Poales; Poaceae
Description: long non-coding RNA (BDIS_LNC005003)
Source: RNAcentral